Molecule: non-coding RNA, 48 nt
Filed under: Trichobilharzia regenti
Lineage: Eukaryota; Metazoa; Platyhelminthes; Trematoda; Strigeidida; Schistosomatidae
Source: RNAcentral
GUCCAGAUGACGAGUCCCGAAUGGGACGAAAUGUGCCUUAUCCUGGAU